This is a non-coding RNA of Salvelinus sp. IW2-2015, 296 nucleotides long. NCBI's taxonomy places the organism in Eukaryota, Metazoa, Chordata, Actinopteri, Salmoniformes, Salmonidae. The record is from RefSeq and is a predicted model, not a curated record.
CUUACAUCCACUUUCUCUCCAAGGUCCCUACACACCCCACUUCAGAGUCAGCAACUUCAUAGUGCAGCAAACACGACAGAAAGUGAUCAUGUUGUGGGGAGGGUACACCAAGCCGCAUGCCGAUGCUCAGGAAGACUGUUGGGAAAAGAGCCUUAUCUUCCUACGGCAACACCUCUACCCCAGCCCUGACUCUGUCCCAAAGGCCAAGCUGUGAUGUCACACCCAAAGAGCAUCAAAGACCUAGUAUGAUUGACUAAGCUAUAACUUAAAAAAAUAAAAAUACAUUAACACAUUAA